UACGUAGGUGGCAAGCGUUGUUCGGAAUUAUUGGGCGUAAAGGGCGCGUAGGCGGCUCGUUAAGUCGGCUGUGAAAGCCCGGGGCUCAACCCCGGAGGGUCGGCCGAUACUGGCGGGCUAGAGUACGGAAGAGGUAGCUGGAAUUCCCGGUGUAGCGGUGAAAUGCGUAGAUAUCAAGAGGAACACCUGUGGUGUAGACAGCUUACUGGACCACUUCUGACGCUGAGACACGAAAGCGUGGGUAGCAAACAGG
This 253-nucleotide ribosomal RNA is filed under the name uncultured prokaryote. RNAcentral describes it as "partial 16S ribosomal RNA". It matches the Rfam family "Bacterial small subunit ribosomal RNA", at positions 524 to 776 of the family's 1533-position model. The record is from RNAcentral.